UGGGGAAUAUUGGACAAUGGGCGCAAGCCUGAUCCAGCAAUGCCGCGUGUGUGAAGAAGGCCUUCGGGUUGUAAAGCACUUUUAUCAGGAGCGAAACGCUGUCGGCUAAUACCCGGCGGAACUGACGGUACCUGAGGAAUAAGCACCGGCUAACUUCGUGCCAGCAGCCGCGGUAAUACGAAGGGUGCAAGCGUUAAUCGGAAUUACUGGGCGUAAAGCGUGCGUAGGCGGUUUCUUAAGUCUGCUGUGAAAUCCCCGGGCUCAACCUGGGAAUGGCAGUGGAUACUGGGAGGCUAGAGUGUGUCAGAGGGUGGUGGAAUUCCCGGUGUAGCGGUGAAAUGCGUAGAGAUCGGGAGGAACAUCAGUGGCGAAGGCGGCCACCUGGGACAACACUGACGCUGAGGCACGAAAAGCGUGGGGAGCAAACAGGAUUAGAUACCCUGGUAGUCCACGCCCUAAAACGAUGCGAACUGGAUGUUGGUCUCAACUCGGAGAUCAGUGUCGAAGCUAACGCGUUAAGUUCGCCGCCUGGGGAGUACGGUCGCAAGACUGAAACUCAAAGGAAUUGACGGGGUCAUAGCUGUUUCCUG
Molecule: ribosomal RNA, 590 nt
Filed under: uncultured bacterium
Lineage: Bacteria
Description: partial 16S ribosomal RNA
Rfam family: Bacterial small subunit ribosomal RNA
Source: RNAcentral